GGGGCCGACAGGUAUCGACCGGACAGGGAAUGUGCAGUGUGGCGUGUCGCGGCGAACGUGGACCGCGUCAACAAGCGUUCAACACUUAUAACUGCCGAACCGCAGUUUGCAAUGGCCGCCUGAGAUUCAGGCGCCUGAGCGUCGCCCGACGCCCGAUGGGGCGGCGCUCAAUGACAUCGGGCUUAGCUUCAAUGGGGCGUCUCAGCGCGGCGAAGCGAAACUUUUCUGAGACUGGCGCGAAGAUGAGGGUGCUCGCCCUCGCAUCAAGCGUGAGAUCAAAUGGUGAGACACACACGUAGAGGCGCUGCGCGGACUGUUUCGGCACGGGGGUUCAACUCCCCCCGGCUCCACUG
Molecule: transfer-messenger RNA, 353 nt
Filed under: Phycisphaerales
Lineage: Bacteria; Pseudomonadati; Planctomycetota; Phycisphaerae
Also listed under: 1 other name
Description: JAGQOH01 sp020427635 Standard tmRNA
Rfam family: transfer-messenger RNA
About the family: Bacterial tmRNA, also known as 10Sa RNA or SsrA, is named for its dual tRNA and mRNA-like properties. Its role is to liberate the mRNA from a stalled ribosome. To accomplish this part of the tmRNA is used as a reading frame that ends in a translation stop signal.
Source: RNAcentral